UUCCUGGAGGACUAGUGGUUAGGCCUCGGCGCUGUCACCACCAUGGCCUGGGUUCGAUUCCCGCCCAGGGAA
This 72-nucleotide transfer RNA is filed under the name Pangasianodon gigas (Mekong giant catfish). Its description in RNAcentral is "tRNA-Asp". The record is from RNAcentral. Lineage: Eukaryota; Metazoa; Chordata; Actinopteri; Siluriformes; Pangasiidae.